UAAGCAUAUCAAUAAGCGGAGGAAAAGAAACCAACAGGGAUUGCCCUAGUAACGGCGAGUGAAGCGGCAACAGCUCAAAUUUGAAAUCUGGCCUUCUGGUCCGAAUUGUAAUUUGCAGAGGAUGCAUUUGACGCGGUACCUUUCGAGUUCCUUGGAACAGGACGCCUUAGAGGGUGAGAGCCCCGUACGAUUGGCCACCAAGUCUCUGUAAUGCUCCUUCGACGAGUCGAGUAGUUUGGGAAUGCUGCUCUAAAUGGGAGGUAAAUUUCUUCUAAAGCUAAAUACCGGCCAGAGACCGAUAGCGCACAAGUAGAGUGAUCGAAAGAUGAAAAGCACUUUGAAAAGAGGGUUAAAUAGCACGUGAAAUUGUUGAAAGGGAAGCGCUUAUGACCAGACUUUUUCUAGGGGGAUCAUCCGGCGUUCUCGCUGGUGCACUUCCCCUGGUUUAGGCCAACAUCGGUUUCUGCGGGAGGAUAAAGGCUUCGGGAAUGUGACUCCUCCGGGAGUGUUAUAGCCCGUUGCAUAAUACCCUCGCGGGGACCGAGGUACGCGCAUUGCAAGGAUGUUGGCAUAAUGGUCAUCAGUGACCCGUCUUGAAACACGGACCAAGGAGUCGAACAUUUGUGCGAGUGUUUGGGUGUCAAACCCUCACGCGUAAUGAAAGUGAACGGAGGUGAGAGCCUUAGGGUGCAUCAUCGACCGAUCCUGAUGUCUUCGGAUGGAUUUGAGUAAGAGCAUAACUGUUCGGACCCGAAAGAUGGUGAACUAUGCGUGGAUAGGGUGAAGCCAGAGGAAACUCUGGUGGAGGCUCGCAGCGGUUCUGACGUGCAAAUCGAUCGUCAAAUCUGCGCAUGGGGGCGAAAGACUAAUCUAACCAUCUAGUAGCUGGUUACCGCCGAU
Molecule: ribosomal RNA, 900 nt
Filed under: Hansfordia pulvinata
Lineage: Eukaryota; Fungi; Ascomycota; Sordariomycetes; Xylariales
Description: LSU rRNA
Rfam family: Eukaryotic large subunit ribosomal RNA
Source: RNAcentral